AAAUGACCUUUUAUAAACCACAUCAAAAAGAUGAUACACCCUUUGUAAGCCCUAAAAACUGAAGUUUUACAGAUCUCCCACAGUUGAUGGGUUAUGUUUGGGGUUUUUUGAGUCUUUGAUUUCUGAGAUAAUGUCUCACUCUAGCCCAGGCUGACCUCAAAUGCUCAGCAGUCCCCUUGCUUUAGACUCCUGAGUACAGGUGUGAGAGGCAUGAGCCAUCACACACAGCUCAGAUACAAUCAAUGCAUUGAGAAUUUUGUAUAUAGAGAGAGAAAAUAUAAAUUUUUGAGAUAUACAUUGAGAUAUACAUUGAGAUUUUUAUAUAUCUUAAUAUAUAGAUCUUUUUAAUCUAUAAAAUAUAUUUUAUUUGUUUAUUUAUUUGGUUUUUCAAGACAGGAUUUCUCUAUAUAGCUCUGGCUGUCCUGGGACUGCCACCACCACUGCCCAUCAUGAAUAAAAUAUUUUACUAACAGCUGUUCAUCAGACAUGCACACAGAGAGGUAAAACUUAACACUGAACACAGCCUGCCAGGUCUUUAGACUUCCUCCUGCCUACUUCAGCCAAAGAAGUUCUGCUUUUGUCUCUUUUACAUACUGAGUUUCCUCUUUUUUAAGCUUUUAUCCGAAAACAAUCUGCUCUUCAUACUUAGAGCCCUUGGAUUUCUCAGUUCUCUUCAGACCAUUUUAACUAAUUAUCUCAAUUGUUUAAAAAAUCACCCAACUUUGAAAUACAGCUUUCUGCUUUUCCCAUCUUACCUUCUGACUAAGGAAUUAAAAAUAUUUAUGGUGGGAGUUGUUUCAAGAUGGUUUCUCUGUAUAACCCUGGCUGCUCUGGAAUUUGCUCUGUAGACCAGGUUGGCCUCAAACUCUUGAGAUCUGCCUGCCUCUGCUUCCCAAGUGCUGGGAUUAAAGGUGUGCACCAGUACACGUGGCUAUUGUACUGAUUUUAUUUAUCAUUUCCUCCAUUUUCUUCUUAUAUAGUUCAUAGAAUUUUUAUAUAUUCUCCAAAAUUAUGUCUGCUUAUAUUUAGGUUGUUUUUAGCUUAAAAAAAAAAAGAAGAAAAGAAAAGAAAGGAAGAUACAUAGAUAGGUAGGUAGGUAGGUAGGUAGGUAGGUAGGUAGGUAGAUAGAUAGGUAGAUAGAUAGAUAGAUAGAUAGAUAAUUGUGCUCUGUAUAAUCCUCUAAGACUUGAACUUCUUCAAUUCUAAUAUUAAUCCAACUGUUGAAUGACUGUAGCUCAUUCAUUGUGAAUUCUAUAUAAAAUUCCAUCAUGAGAAUGUGCUAUAGUUAGUUUUUUUUAACUACUGUCACAUUCUCAUACAUGUACCCUGAAGUGUUCACAGAGUCUCUUAGAGUUAUAAACCUAUAAUUUGGAGUUGCUGGGUCAUAGUGCAUAUCAGUUUCCAGUUAUAAGAGAUGAUAACAAAAUGUUUUAUAAAAGAUAUAUCUAUACCCACUACCUACCCAGCGGCACUUUCUCUAUCACUUGAUAGACUUGUUUGGCUUUGCCUAUCAAGUGACGUUAUAAAUAAUAUUUCAAAUGAUCUGGGUUUUUUUUCCCUGCUUCUUAGUAAAGUGGAAUAUCUGUCCAUAUUUUAAUUACCAUAUAAAUCCACUUAAGUGAAAAUAUAUUCAUGUGUUUUCCCCAUAGUUUUUUUUAACUUAUUGUAUAUAAAUGACCAUUUUGCUCACAUGUAUGUCUGUGCACCACAUGUGUGUCUGAUGCACAUGGACGUAGGGUUACCAAGUUGUAAGCUGCCAUGUAGGUGUCGGGAAUUGAACCUGGAUCCAAGAACAAGCGCUCUGACAGCAAGUGUUCGUUUCUCCGACCCUCUGUCAUGCUUUGAUUGGGUUGCUUUUGCUUUGCUCAUUGAUUGAAAAGAAAACUGUGUGAUUCUGUAGUACUAAGUUGCACCUCUGAGACAUCACUGAAUGUAAAUAGGACUUUUUGAAGGUACCAUUGUCUUGUUUCUGAUUUAAAGAGAGUGCGUAUGUAGGAUAAUACAAGUUUUUAAUAUUCUUUGUCAGGUUAAGAAAGUUCUUUGCUGAUAUGUUUUUGGAGAAUUAAUGUUGAAUAUAUUCAAGCUUUUUCUUCAUCUAUGAAGAAGAUAAUGUGAUGCUUUAAAAUUCUUCUAAUCUAGUAUGAUUCAUUAUAUUCAACUUAGAUGAAUAAAUUUUAUUGGCACAUUUUUAAUGCAACCUAUUUACUAUGCCAACAUUUUACAUAGAAAUUCCACAUCUCAUUGCAAAUGUUAAAUAUGUUUUAAGUGUUCAGUAAAAAUGUUCAGUAGAAAACAUUUCAUGUCUAUAUUCGCAUCUGAGAUGAGCCUGUAUUUUUAUUUUCUCAUAUUAUUAGUUUUGAUUUUUUGGUAUCUAUGUUCUCUUGGCUUUUUAAAAUGGAUUGGAGCUCGCAGUGUUUGAUUUUAUGUUACGUGACCAGACCUCAGUGCCAAGACAAUGAAUCCGACAUUAUUCAGGGUGUUUCUAGAUGCUUGGCACAUCAUUGUAGGUAAUGUUGAGACUGGUGGGCCUGUGUUAAAGCAAGUUAGACUGUAGUGUGAGUGGGCCUCCUCGUCCAUUGGUUGAAGGCCUAAUGGAAUAAAGAUGUCACCCAAAUAAGGAUUUCUUUCAGAAGAAAUGAGACUGUAACUCUUUGCUGUUACUCUGGCCUGUCUGCUAAUGCUGUGGGUUUUAAACAUCCACCUUCACAAUCCUCUAGGCCAGUUGCUACUUUAAUUCCCCCUCCCCUCAUUCUCUGUCUAUCUACCUACGCACAGAGUGCAUGCACAUGAUAGCAUGUUGUACUGUUUCACUGAAGAACCCUAAUUCAGAGCAUUCCCCACUUAUUGAGGAGUUUUGUAUAAUUCUUUGUUAGCUGGUGUGCCAUUCAUUUCUGCUUCUUUUAUUGUGCUUUACCUUGCUUUGAAUGUACUCUGCUCUUCUGUUUCUGACAUCAGAAGAUAAGCACACACUUGUUUCUUAAGCACACUGUCUACCUUUUUGUACCAUAUUAACAGGGCCACAUCAGCUUCCUUUUGACUGACCAUAUGCUAUUUCUUAAGCGUUUACUUCCAAACAGUUCAUCUUAUCCUGCUUUGGCUGUAACUUUUAGAGGAAAAAGUAACAAACUUUCAAAUGCAAAGAUGAUGAUCUUUUCUUGAAAUUUACCUUUGUUAGUGGUGCUGAUGCUGGUGGUGAUGGUGGUGGUGGUGCUGAUGGUGGUGGUGGUGAUGGUGGCUAAUUGGUUGGUUUUGUUUAGUUUUCAGGCCUUCUCCCCUGUGUAGUCCAGGCUGGCCUGGCACUCACAGGCCUCCUGUUUCUGCCUUCCCAGUGCUAUGAUUACAGGAAUGUACCACCUUACCUAAAUUUUUAACCAUUUUAGCCAUCCAAUUUUUUUAUUUGGUUGAGUCUUCCUGUUUCUUUUUCAUCUUCUUUUUUUAAGUUCUUUGUGUAUCUUUCCUUUUUAACCAAUAAGAAUCUUUGACAUAGUCUUUGUACUCCCUUCUUAAUCCCCAACAUGCUGAUUUGAGAUUACAGGAGCACACCAUCUCACCUGAUUUUACUACUUAUUAGCAAUUUGUAGCAUAAUAUACAAAAGUAGGCUGGAAAGUCAUAGUGCACGCCUUUAAUCCCAGCACUUGUGAGGCAGAGGAGGCGGCUCUCUUGAGUUUGAGACCAAACUUGUUUACAUAGCAAGCUCCAGGACAGCCAAAGCUACGCAGAGAAACCCUGUCUC
RNAcentral lists this long non-coding RNA (3734 nucleotides) under Mus musculus (house mouse). Its description in RNAcentral is "long non-coding RNA chr18:65465741-65469475". Lineage: Eukaryota; Metazoa; Chordata; Mammalia; Rodentia; Muridae. The record is from RNAcentral.